CUAUAUUGCAAUACAAUAACAACAUGAACAACAAAUUUUUGUUCGCAUAAAUUUAGGGUGCCAGCAUGUCCUCCUUUUAUUCAAAAUAUUGAUACGUAACAAAAUUUCAGUAGUUUUGAUACCUCAUGCUGACUUGUACAACAAAAUGAUUUGACCGCAUUGACCAAAACUGACCAUAUGUGCACUUUAAUUUGUAAAUCUAUAUACCAUGUAUACCCGCAUAGUAAAUAAGCCAUAUUUUUUAUGCCAGGAUUCAAUGUAUA
RNAcentral lists this long non-coding RNA (263 nucleotides) under Mytilus galloprovincialis (Mediterranean mussel). Lineage: Eukaryota; Metazoa; Mollusca; Bivalvia; Mytilida; Mytilidae. The record is from RNAcentral.